GCACUCUUGUUUCGCUUCAGGUCGUAUAAAUCUUUUGCCUUUUACUAAUGAUUUUCAUGGAGAGGAAUAAUAAGUGAGUAUUUCAAUUUUUUGAUUCCCUUGUCAUUGGUGGCGU
This 115-nucleotide small nuclear RNA is filed under the name Poecilia reticulata (guppy). RNAcentral describes it as "U5 spliceosomal RNA (ENSPREG00000003781.1)". It matches the Rfam family "U5 spliceosomal RNA". From Rfam's summary of the family: U5 RNA is a component of both types of known spliceosome. The precise function of this molecule is unknown, though it is known that the 5' loop is required for splice site selection and p220 binding, and that both the 3' stem-loop and the Sm site are important for Sm protein binding and cap methylation. Lineage: Eukaryota; Metazoa; Chordata; Actinopteri; Cyprinodontiformes; Poeciliidae. The record is from Rfam by way of RNAcentral.